This 497-nucleotide ribosomal RNA is filed under the name uncultured bacterium. RNAcentral's name for it is "partial 16S ribosomal RNA". It matches the Rfam family "Bacterial small subunit ribosomal RNA", at positions 28 to 507 of the family's 1533-position model. The record is from RNAcentral.
GAUGAACGCUGGCGGCGUGCCUAAUACAUGCAAGUCGAGCGAACGGACGAGAAGCUUGCUUCUCUGAUGUUAGCGGCGGACGGGUGAGUAAAACGUGGAUAACCUACCUAUAAGACUGGGAUAACUUCGGGAAACCGGAGCUAAUACAGGCUAAUAUUUUAAACCGCAUGGUUCAAAAGUGAAAGACGGUCUUGCUGUCACUUAUAGAUGGAUCCGCGCUGCAUUAGCUAGUUGGUAAGGUAACGGCUUACCAAGGCAACGAUGCAUAGCCGACCUGAGAGGGUGAUCGGCCACACGGGAACUGAGACACGGUCCAGACUCCUACGGGAGGCAGCAGUAGGGAAUCUUCCGCAAUGGGCGAAAGCCUGACGGAGCAACGCCGCGUGAGUGAUGAAGGUCUUCGGAUCGUAAAACUCUGUUAUUAGGGAAGAACAUAUGUGUAAGUAACUGUGCACAUCUUGACGGUACCUAAUCAGAAAGCCACGGCUAACUACGUG